RNAcentral lists this ribosomal RNA (480 nucleotides) under Streptococcus mitis. Its description in RNAcentral is "bacterial SSU rRNA". It matches the Rfam family "Bacterial small subunit ribosomal RNA", at positions 28 to 494 of the family's 1533-position model. Lineage: Bacteria; Bacillati; Bacillota; Bacilli; Lactobacillales; Streptococcaceae. The record is from RNAcentral.
GACGAACGCUGGCGGCGUGCCUAAUACAUGCAAGUAGAACGCUGAAGGAGGAGCUUGCUUCUCUGGAUGAGUUGCGAACGGGUGAGUAACGCGUAGGUAACCUGCCUGGUAGCGGGGGAUAACUAUUGGAAACGAUAGCUAAUACCGCAUAAGAGUAGAUGUUGCAUGACAUUUGCUUAAAAGGUGCACUUGCAUCACUACCAGAUGGACCUGCGUUGUAUUAGCUAGUUGGUGAGGUAACGGCUCACCAAGGCGACGAUACAUAGCCGACCUGAGAGGGUGAUCGGCCACACUGGGACUGAGACACGGCCCAGACUCCUACGGGAGGCAGCAGUAGGGAAUCUUCGGCAAUGGACGGAAGUCUGACCGAGCAACGCCGCGUGAGUGAAGAAGGUUUUCGGAUCGUAAAGCUCUGUUGUAAGAGAAGAACGAGUGUGAGAGUGGAAAGUUCACACUGUGACGUAUCUACCAGAAAGGACG